Long non-coding RNA from Callorhinus ursinus (northern fur seal), 2235 nucleotides. RefSeq lists it as uncharacterized. Lineage: Eukaryota; Metazoa; Chordata; Mammalia; Carnivora; Otariidae. The record is from RefSeq and is a predicted model, not a curated record.
CCGCCACCGCGGCCGGCCGGACCCAGGAGGAGGCGGCAAGGGGCUGCAGCUCGGACCCCGGCAGCCCGCCCGGCGCCCGCCUCUUCCCUGCGCACCUCGACCUCCCGGCCCGCAGGGUCCGGGCCCAGCGCAGACAUCGGUGUCGGCGUGGACAGCGAGCGGGGCUUUGCUCCGCGGGGCUUUCCGUUGCUCGCGGCUGGAACUUCGGACUGGUCAUACCAAAUUGCCUCCCACCAAGGAAGGAAGGAGGGGCCUAGUGUCCUCCGUCCCUGAUGCCUGAUUUUGCAGAUCUGGUAGGGGUAAAAUUGUAUUUCAUUGUAGCUUACUUGUGUUUCCUAGAAGUGAAAUGAAACAUAUCAAUAGUUUUGUCAGAUUUAUUUAUUUAUGUAUUUAUUUUAAGAUUUUAUUUAUUUAUUUGACAGAGACACAGCGAGAGAGAGAACACAAGCAGGGGGAGUGGGAGAGGGAGAAGCAGGCUUCCCCGUUGUCUCCACUUACAAGGGAAAUGGCUCAGGCCAAUUUGCUCCCAGAGAAGUCCUGGGACCCCGGUGGGGCUUAUGCCCUGGGCUCCCUUGGUGCUCAGAUAGCCUCUGGACACGGGUGCGCCCCGGCCGGACAGCGAACUCCAUGCUGCCAGACCCCAGUGCCUGAGCCUAAGGCAGACGGCUAACGACUGAGCCACCCAGGCGCCCCUGUCAGAUUUAUUUUUGUUAUUUUUACCACUCAUACAAUCAUUUCAAAAUGGGAAAGUCUGUAUUUAUUAUAAACAUGUACGUAUUUAAAAGCCAUUUGUAUUUCAUAUUCUUCAACUGUUUUCCAUUGGGUUGUUGGUGUUAUUGUUUACUAGGAGCACUUUACGUAUUAAGGAAAUUAGCCCAUUUCCUGUUAAAAUCGUUUUUCCCCCAGUCUAUAAUUUGUUUUUUGACUUGGACUGUGUUUUUUUUUUCCUUCGAUUUCUAAAAAAAUUCAUAUUAUUUUUGCUAAGCAUUUAAAAUCAUUAUUAGUCAUUAUUAGCUUUUUUCAUUUAUGGCUUCUGCAUUUUGUGUCAUGCUCAGAAAUAUUUACUCCAAGAUUAUAAAACAUUUGAUGUGUUUUUCUUGAAAUGUAAUGGUUUCUUUUUUAAAUAUAUAUUUAAAUUUUUGGUCUAAUUUUGGAAAGUGCUUUUGGGAAGGAGUGUGGUGGGAACCCAAACUGCUUUUCCAAAUAGGUUACCCCGACUCCAUUUCCCACGGAAGCCACUCUUGCCCCUACUGACCGGGCUGUCUUUAUCACAUGCUGGGCUCUUGAGUGCGUGGGUCUGUUUUCAGACUCUGCAUUGUCUAGGCUCACCUGGACUCCAUUGUCUUCUUUGCUGAAUGUGCCAAGACCCCGCCUCCCCUUGUUAAAGUGGGGAAAAUUGUCCCCCCAGAAUCCACAGCUGAGGACCCGAACAUAUUGUGUGUCAUAGUAGUUCUGCAUGACAUGCUGUGACAGAAAGGAUUCUGAAAGCUUCACUGUGUGUCCCCUCCCCUGCCCUUGGAUAGUCACAGUGUUGAGACUGAGUGCUGGUUGUUCCGUAGCGCCUGCCCAUUGCACGUAAGGGAUAAACUGAGGCAGGCCGUUGUGCACUGUGGGCUCCUCAGGCUGACCUGGCCCACAGGCUCUGUGCCUGAGGGGUCACCUCUUUCUGGGUGGAGUGCCCCUGAAGGGCUCACCGUCAGCCUCUGGGGUGGGGGUCAGACCAUGCACAGCAGUGAUGGGGGGAAGCCAGUGGUACAUUCCAGGAUGCGCCCCCCCCUUCCUUUCUGCUUGGUAUGGCCCAUGGGCUAGGCUGCCUGGGAGAAGGGCCAACUUUCGGUUCUCCAUUUUGUGGAUUUUCCACAACACAUGUGUUCACACCCGGCAGCAGCAUUCUCCUGCUGCUCAGCAGACCCCCGAGCAUGUGCACCCUGGGCAGGGCGCCCUCGGCUCCCCGUGACACCUGACCUGGCACAGCUUAAGCCCCCCGGGUCCCAUGGUCUGUGUGUGCCCUGGUACCCAGAGAGCCCUGGGGACACAGCCGGGCACAAGCUCCUCUCUGGGGGUCAGGCCUGGGACCUGGUGUGGAUGCUGCUCACCCCGGGGCCGUGGAGCCCAGACAGGACUUCACGUGGGGUCCCCAGCACCCGAGGGCCAGACCGUCCACCCUCCUCUCCUUCCCUCUGCGGACUCUGCUUCCCCGCAUCGUCCCCAAUAGACGGAGCUGGUGGGACCCAC